Jaculus jaculus (lesser Egyptian jerboa) is the source of this 823-nucleotide long non-coding RNA. RefSeq lists it as uncharacterized. The record is from RefSeq and is a predicted model, not a curated record. Lineage: Eukaryota; Metazoa; Chordata; Mammalia; Rodentia; Dipodidae. The transcript has 3 exons.
GCCGUGGGCUGUGAAGGCAGAGGUAGAGGUGGAGAAGUUUGAGGACCAGAGUCCACGGCCGAGGAGUCAAAGAGGACUGCCAGGACACGGGAGAUAAACGAGGCCGUUGUGGCAAUAUGGAAGGAAGGUCCCUCGUGGGGAAAAGGAGCUACAAAUGGAGAGAACGCGAAGGGAAGUAGCAGGACGGGCCGGAGCAGGCCCCGGAUAAAUAAAAAGCACCCCUGAUUCAUCUGCAUCCCGAGUCAGAUGCUGCUGAGAAAGUGCAGACCCCCACCUAGGCGGGGAAAGGAGAGGGUCGCGUCAUCUUGGCCACGUGCUCAGCUGGUUUCUUCCUUUCGUGCCCUCCCCAGCUGUGCUCUCCAGGUUCAGCACCUUCUACUCCUCCAUCUUCCCUUCUCUCACAUGAGCAGAGUAAAACCCCGCAGACACAAAUGCGCUGUGAUUGAGACUUUAAUGGCGGUGCUUAUUUCAAAGCCAGAGAGGUGGUGGCAACUGUGGAACACGGCGCGGGGAGGUGAGACAGCGCUCUGGUGCAGUUGGAGGGAGAAUGGGACCUGGGGCUGGAGAGAGGUUUGUAGGAGAAGAGCCUGCAGGCUCACAGCCCUGUUCUCCGCCAGCCCCGGCUUCAGUCAGUGCACACCACCAAACUGAUGCUAAGGCCUUUCCUGUUACCCUUCCUAUCCUAGCAAGACCUCCCACGCCGGUCAUCUUGGGAUCUGCAGCCACAUGAAAGUAUAGAUGCCCAGUCAAGUCAAGCCAGUUGUAGACCCUAAGGUCAUGAGAUAAUUAAUGGAAUGAAUAAAAAUGAAUGAAUGAAUGAAUA